GCUACGAUAGUUUAUUUUCAAAACACUAGCCUGUGACGCUAGAAAGGGACACCCACGCAGCU
This 62-nucleotide transfer RNA is filed under the name Furcifer pardalis. Its description in RNAcentral is "tRNA-His". Lineage: Eukaryota; Metazoa; Chordata; Lepidosauria; Squamata; Chamaeleonidae. The record is from RNAcentral.